Molecule: long non-coding RNA, 559 nt
Filed under: Gallus gallus (chicken)
Lineage: Eukaryota; Metazoa; Chordata; Aves; Galliformes; Phasianidae
Description: long non-coding RNA NONGGAT001395
Source: RNAcentral
UGAGUGAGACACCAUGGAAUGCUCGGAGCUGCCCUGCAGAGUCCUUGUAGCAGCUUCAUAAAACUUACCCAAGUGCCUUUGAAUUACGACCUUCCAAAUAUCCACUGGUCAAGGGUAACUGGAAUUUUGAAACCAGAAUGAAUGCAGGGUUGAUACUGGAGCUGGGCUGCACUCCAUAAAGGCUACUCACUGAGAGCUCUAUCACAGUGACUGAGAGGGAAGGACAGGACUUCAUUCUUCAGUGCAAACCAACCCCCCCAGAAGGGCUGCAAAGAACUGAAAUCAAUCUGAAGAAAAGCUAUUAAUAAUUCUUUUCAUAUAGCCUUACCCUGAGGCAGUUGAGCUUCUAAGGCUGAUCCUUAAGAAUGUCACCAAUGUGGUGACACCAUCUCGAUGCAGGUGAUAUUAGCACCUACCAGUACUGGCUUCACGUUCAGGGCAGGUUGAAAGAUCUCCUAUUUGCAUGCCAUUCAUUUCUCAGAGCACUACGUGUGCGUUGUGGUGAUAGGUACUGUGCAAACACAACAGGGAGACAUCGGACACCUUUCCGAGACAUUUC